This is a long non-coding RNA of Pseudopipra pipra, 621 nucleotides long. RefSeq lists it as uncharacterized. The record is from RefSeq and is a predicted model, not a curated record. Lineage: Eukaryota; Metazoa; Chordata; Aves; Passeriformes; Pipridae. The transcript is spliced from 3 exons.
GUUACCCAGUACCAUCAAGGAUCGGAACCACCAUGAGAAUUAGAUGGUGGGCAGGACAGAAAAUACCAAGGAAGGGUUCCUCCUAUUUCCUGCAUCUAACAUGACUCCUCAGCUUAAAAUAUGAGAAAUAUGAGUCACACAACUCUGAUUUAUAUAUUUGGUUGACUUCUCACUGUUAACAUGCAAGGCUGGGAAGGAGCAUAAUGAGAAAAAGCUCAAGAUAACCUUUGUGGGAGUUAAAUCAAGAAAUGGAGAUUCCUUAUCAAUACUGCAGAUCCCAAUAUCGAAAUGCUUAGCACUGAAGUGGAAAUUUUUGUGGAGAGAAUGAACUCUGCUUGAAAGGUGCAUUAUCUGGUGAGACUUUUCACACAUUGUGGUCCAAAGGCAUUCCUACAAAUAUUUCUGCUAAUGACCAAAGAAUUGGUGACAGACAUCUACUGCAUCUCUUGGACAAGUAUAGCAUGGGGCAGCUGCAUUGGAGGCUCACUCUAUGCUACUCAUGCAAGAAUGAAGAAAUUACCCUGGCUAAUGAGUAAGUCACAGUACUUUGGAGAAAGUGGAGUAAGGCUCAGAGGGCAGUUCUGUUUCCAUGCCAACUUAAUGUCUGUUCUUUGUUUUGAG